RNAcentral lists this long non-coding RNA (1640 nucleotides) under Mus spicilegus (steppe mouse). RNAcentral's name for it is "lncRNA (ENSMSIG00000009397.1)". The stretch from base 731 to 923 matches the Rfam family "Small Cajal body specific RNA 16". The record is from RNAcentral. Lineage: Eukaryota; Metazoa; Chordata; Mammalia; Rodentia; Muridae.
GUCAUGUUCCUCGGGAGGUCUCUGCUGAAGGCAUGAUUCUAGAUACAGUCCCGCGGCGGUCAGAGGUGCGACUUUGGGAAGCCUUUGGAUCAAGAGGGUGCUGACGUCAACGGGUAUCAAUUGAUACCACCUAUGGGUUUAUACUGUGAUGGAAGGUCACACACAGGUUUGCAACAGAACCAGCUGGGUUUCAACCGCCUUUGCCACAACAGGGCUGACUGGGCUCGGAAAAGUCAACUUUUUGGUCUGCACAGGGCUGCGUGAUUGAUAAAGGGUCAGUGGCUAGGCUAGCUCCUGCCGCCCAAGAGUAGAGAGUCCCUCCCGCUUGCGCCCCUGUAGACGAGGUCUCACCGCCGCGUGGAACUCUGGCCGCUCUAACCCCGUCUAGAACGCGGCCCCUUUAAGACCGACCUGGAUGACCCGAAGGCCAGAGCGACCUUCUAGCGGCCGUCUCGAUGGUAAAUCUUCAGUUCCGGCCGGAAGUGCAUUUGCAGAGCUGGUUCCGCCGGGGAGGAGAACUCGCGUGCUCCGUGCAGAGGGGAUGCAGCCUGCGCAGCGUGGCUCGGGGGCGCCGUGGAGCCUCCCGAAGGCGAUCGAAAUGAACCACAUCCCCCAACGACUAGACGGAAGCACGCACUAGCUCCUUCCUCCCGAGGAGCGUUUCCAGUGACUUGAGCUUGGUUGGCCCAGGUAUGUCAAUCCUUGGGGGUGGGACGGUGACCUGAGGCCGACGGUCUGGGAAAAGGCUCCUGUGUGGCUGAACCCGCCCGAGGUGGGUGCAGCCCCGUACCAGACAGCCCGACCUUGACCUAAAGUAAAAUCCCAGAGGAGGAGGAACCUCUUCCCUGGGGUUAGAAUUUGCAGUAACAGGUGUGGACAUCCUAGCAGCAGUUUGGUGGUCAUGUAUGAUACUGCAAACAGGAGCCCUGCUGAAGCUGUGGGGACUGAGCACAGCUCAGGACUCUGCAAGAUUGAAGCCAUUUGAGUCCUCCAAAAGCAAAUAUUUGACCCAUUACUCGAGCCCCUCACUUUAGAUAAAAAAGAAAAAAAGACGUAUUCAUUAUUUUAUGAGUGUUGAUGUUUGCCUGGUGCCCCCAAGGGGUCACAAGAGGGUACCAGAUUUCCCAGAAGUGGUAUUAUAGAGUGUUGUCAGACCCGGUGUGGAUGCUGGGAACUGAACCCAGGCCCUUUAAGAGGGCAGCAAGUGUUCAGCUUCAAUGCUGAGCCAUCUCUCCAGCAACUGCACCACCCCGCUCUGAGAUAGGGUCUCACUUAGCCCAGGCUGGCCUUUACUCAUUAAGUAGCUGAGGGCAGCCUUUGAACUUCUGAUCCUCCUUCCUCUGCCUCUGGUAGGCGGCUGGAUGACCAGCAUCCUCGAGCACACGUGGUUUAUGGGAUGUACGGAUAAAGCUCAAGGCUGUAUGCAUGCUAGGAAGUCUUCUACUCCUGGGUGUCUGUCCCACCCACGUGGAGCUUAAACAAAGAUGCAUACAGUUGUGACUCCAGACGUCACUGGACAAGACACCAGUACAACCCAAACAAACAGAAAUCGUUCCCCAGGACUCACCUGAGCGACCGUGGGCCCCACUAGGUUGUCUCUUCAGUGUGGUUGAAGGACUGGCGUUUGCAUUUUGAGUAGC